Molecule: long non-coding RNA, 242 nt
Filed under: Elaeis guineensis (African oil palm)
Lineage: Eukaryota; Viridiplantae; Streptophyta; Magnoliopsida; Arecales; Arecaceae
Description: long non-coding RNA (EGUI_LNC066101)
Source: RNAcentral
GCCAUGUUGCCUCCAUCCCAUGGUCCUACAUCACAUGAUACCAGUGCUGAUGAAUGUGGGGUGAUAUUUCUUGAAAUGCAAGCAUAAAUGAGCAUCCACAGCUCGCCACAUGCGAUCCUCCUCAAAAUCAACAAUAUCAAAUACACCCUGCCAAUGAUAAAUAUUAGAAGAAUAUCAUGUUAAUUAAAUAUUCAUAGUAUAAUUUAUUUUACCUAUAAGUGGGUGUAGAAAAUCUCUCUCUG